GACGAACGCUGGCGGCGUGCCUAAUACAUGCAAGUAGGACGCAGUUGCGAACGGGUGAGUAAAGCGUAGGUAACUGCCUAUUAGAGGGGGAUAACUAUUGGAAACGAUAGCUAAUACCGCAUACUAGUAGAUGGACCUGCGUUGUAUUAGCUAGUAGGUAGGGUAGUGGCCUACCUAGGCGACGAUACAUAGCCGACCUGAUAUGUGGAUCGGCACCCCUGGGACUGAGACACGGCCCAGACUCCUACGGUAGGCAGCAGUAGGGAAUCUUCGGCAAUGGGGGGACCCCUGACCGAGCAACGCCGCGUGAGUGAAGAAGGUUUUCGGAUCGUAAAGCUCUGUUGUUAAGGAAGCGGUACUUAACCAGAAAGGGACGGCUAACUACGUGCCAGCAGCCGCGGUAAUAC
Molecule: ribosomal RNA, 407 nt
Filed under: uncultured bacterium
Lineage: Bacteria
Description: partial 16S ribosomal RNA
Rfam family: Bacterial small subunit ribosomal RNA
Source: RNAcentral